RNAcentral lists this ribosomal RNA (406 nucleotides) under uncultured bacterium. Its description in RNAcentral is "partial 16S ribosomal RNA". It matches the Rfam family "Bacterial small subunit ribosomal RNA", at positions 30 to 526 of the family's 1533-position model. The record is from RNAcentral.
AUUGAACGCUGGCGGCAGGCCUAACACAUGCAAGUCGAACGAGUGGCGGACGGGUGAGUAAUGUCUGGGAAACUGCCCGAUGGAGGGGGAUAACUACUGGAAACGGUGGCUAAUACCGCAUACUAUCGGAUGUGCCCAUAUGGGAUUAGCUAGUAGGUGGGGUAACGGCUCACCUAGGCGACGAUCCCUAGCUGGUCUGAGAGGAUGACCAGCCACACUGGGACUGAGACACGGUCCAGACUCCUACGGGAGGCAGCAGUGGGGAAUAUUGCACAAUGGGCGCAAGCCUGAUGCAGCCAUGCCGCGUGUAUGAAGAAGGCCUUCGGGUUGUAAAGUACUUUCAGCGAGGAGGCGUUACUCGCAGAAGAAGCACCGGCUAACUCCGUGCCAGCAGCCGCGGUAAUUC